UCUGAUAUUUCUAAUGUUAGUCAUGUUAAUGGAGAUUUAGUUAUCAUUUGAAAAUUCUAUGAUUAAGAGUUGAAGAUUUAUUGAAAAACAUAAAUGAGUAGAAAAUGGCGUUCGUACGCAAUACCAUGAAAGAAAGAAAAAAUAUACAUCUAUCUAAUAAGAUGAUAAUUGAAACUCAAUACUUGAUUCUCAUUCAUUCUCACCCCAUAAAAAGAUGAUGUGGCCAAUCUAAAUAGAGAGUAUUAGAAAAUACAACUCUCUCUUUAAUUCAAGCCCCACACAAUUAACUUUAAUACUUCUUUACACCGAAUUUACAUCUCCCACUUCACCCAUGUUCCCCUAACCCGAUUUUCUCACUAUCUAACUGACGAUACCGACCAAAAAAUAAAGCGAUAUUUUGAGUUUGGGUCGCAUAAAAGUGACCAGAGUUGUGUUUAGGUCACGGAGAAAAUUUAAUUAGAGUUAGGGUCACAGGACCGUAGUUGACCGGCUUGACAGUUAUAGAAUCUAGUUAAAUGAGUAAAUGACCAACAUAAUAACAGAGUUUGUUUUAUUUACUAACCCACCCAUCUACUUCUGUUAGACACGUGGAACCAUCAAAAUACUUAUUUUAGCGAACGGUUGAGAUCAAAACACUUACAGUUUUUACUUCAAACUAAACAAACAGAUAAGGUCUCUUUUUCCAGGGUUCUAUGUUGCGAAUAGGAUCUACAAACUGAAUCCUAAAAUUGAUUGCCAAUGGUUGAUUUGAGUUGAUACAAGUAUUACUACUUUUCGUUUUACAAUAUUCUGUAGCUAAAGCUGGUUUUGAGUUGAUACAAGUAUUACUACUUUUCGUAUUACUAUUAUGUGACCUAAAGUCAAAAUAUCCCAAAACAACCUACAGCGGCCUCCGAAUUUCAGAACUGCUGGCUUUGUUUUUCACAACCCCCUGUUUGAUUUGAUCUCUAAACCUAAACCUGAGUAAUUUCGUGUCUGCUAUUUUUCUCCUUGAAGAAUCAAAUAAACAAUCACCUUAAACAGAUUUAGGUUAGGCAAUUCCAGAUUCUGCAUGUGAUGAUUAUCAAUUUUGUGCACUAUUUUUUGAGAUUUCGGUUAAUUUCGGAUUGUAAAUGUGAUGAAGCAAUUGGUCUGUAAUCAACCAAUCUACUGGGAUUCUCCUUCUUAACCAUAAGGGUGAGAAAAACGUGCAUGUAUUCUCAAUUUUCUACACUGUUUUUUUAAGUAACCCUAACUGUUUGUUAAUCUUCUUUUGUGUUCACGCUCUAAAUUAGUUUUCUGUUAUUGAUGGGGAUGAUUUUGUAACCAAAAUCUGAAGGUGGUGGUGUUGGUUAAGAAAGAAAGUUAAACUACUUUUAAUUUUGCAUAUAAAGUGUUUGAUAAAUUACCUUCCUUAGGCAACUUCUCCCUUGCUUCAUUUGUCGUGGUGUUUCAGUUCGUAAACAAAGGGUUAUAAUUCUAUUAGAUGUUAAUGGUGAUAUUUCUUACUGUGAUGAUGAAGACACUUAAAACCCGGUCAUGGAUUAUGAGUUUGUAUGAUUGGAUAAUCAAGCCUAGCAAGUUUGACGAAAGUGUUGAUUUCCAUUUGUUCUGAGACGGGGUUGACCCCAAGUGGAAGAUCCAGAAUUUGAUAGCAGCCACAAGUGGUCUUUAUCAUAUAAAAGGAGAUGUAUUGGGAGAAAAAGAUUUUAGGAUGGAAAAGUGGUCCGGCAGAAGCCCCUUUCUAUAUAGCCUUACACAUAAAUGACAAGAAUGCAUAAGAAGCAAUCACCAUGCAUGAUCAACAAGAUAUGCUCCAAGAAAUUUCCAAAGAACCACUGCAGCGAGACUACUGCUGAAGAAAGUGGUUAUCCAAUAUUUUGAAGGCGAAAGAAUGAGAGCUCGCAAUAAGAACGGAUAACUCCUCGGUUGUUCCUCACAGUCACAACAGAGACAUAGUGGUGAGAUACAAUGCACACAACCUCCGCUAAUGUACAACAACAGUCCACGUCCAACUUCAUGAAGCUAAUGUGUUUUCCAAAGGAACCUUCAGUAAUCUUGCAUUUGUAAGUAAAUCCAUUACAUUGUUUUGUUUCCGUACUGUCAAAGAUGGUGAAAAUAUUUUUCUAAUGGGGUAUAUAUUUGAUGACU
Molecule: long non-coding RNA, 2130 nt
Organism: Papaver somniferum (opium poppy)
Lineage: Eukaryota; Viridiplantae; Streptophyta; Magnoliopsida; Ranunculales; Papaveraceae
Exons: 6
Source: RefSeq, a predicted model, not a curated record